AUAGCUGGUUCUCCCCGAAAGCUAUUUAGGUAGCGCCUCGUGAAUUCAUCUCCGGGGGUAGAGCACUGUUUCGGCAAGGGGGUCAUCCCGACUUACCAACCCGAUGCAAACUGCGAAUACCGGAGAAUGUUAUCACGGGAGACACACGGCGGGUGCUAACGUCCGUCGUGAAGAGGGAAACAACCCAGACCGCCAGCUAAGGUCCCAAAGUCAUGGUUAAGUGGGAAACGAUGUGGGAAGGCCCAGACAGCCAGGAUGUUGGCUUAGAAGCAGCCAUCAUUUAAAGAAAGCGUAAUAGCUCACUGGUCGAGUCGGCCUGCGCGGAAGAUGUAACGGGGCUAAACCAUGCACCGAAGCUGCGGCAGCGACACUAUGUGUUGUUGGGUAGGGGAGCGUUCUGUAAGCCUGUGAAGGUGGCCUGUGAGGGUUGCUGGAGGUAUCAGAAGUGCGAAUGCUGACAUAAGUAACGAUAAAGCGGGUGAAAAGCCCGCUCGCCGGAAGACCAAGGGUUCCUGUCCAACGUUAAUCGGGGCAGGGUGAGUCGACCCCUAAGGCGAGGCCGAAAGGCGUAGUCGAUGGGAAACAGGUUAAUAUUCCUGUACUUGGUGUUACUGCGAAGGGGGGACGGAGAAGGCUAUGUUGGCCGGGCGACGGUUGUCCCGGUUUAAGCGUGUAGGCUGGUUUUCCAGGCAAAUCCGGAAAAUCAAGGCUGAGGCGUGAUGACGAGGCACUACGGUGCUGAAGCGACAAAUGCCCUGCUUCCAGGAAAAGCCUCUAAGCAUCAGGUAACAUCAAAUCGUACCCCAAACCGACACAGGUGGUCAGGUAGAGAAUACCAAGGCGCUUGAGAGAACUCGGGUGAAGGAACUAGGCAAAAUGGUGCCGUAACUUCGGGAGAAGGCACGCUGAUAUGUAGGUGAAGCGACUUGCUCGUGGAGCUGAAAUCAGUCGAAGAUACCAGCUGGCUGCAACUGUUUAUUAAAAACACAGCACUGUGCAAACACGAAAGUGGACGUAUACGGUGUGACGCCUGCCCGGUGCCGGAAGGUUAAUUGAUGGGGUUAGCGGUAACGCGAAGCUCUUGAUCGAAGCCCCGGUAAACGGCGGCCGUAACUAUAACGGUCCUAAGGUAGCGAAAUUCCUUGUCGGGUAAGUUCCGACCUGCACGAAUGGCGUAAUGAUGGCCAGGCUGUCUCCACCCGAGACUCAGUGAAAUUGAACUCGCUGUGAAGAUGCAGUGUACCCGCGGCAAGACGGAAAGACCCCGUGAACCUUUACUAUAGCUUGACACUGAACAUUGAGCCUUGAUGUGUAGGAUAGGUGGGAGGCUUUGAAGUGUGGACGCCAGUCUGCAUGGAGCCGACCUUGAAAUACCACCCUUUAAUGUUUGAUGUUCUAACGUGGGCCCCUUACCGGGGUUGCGGACAGUGUCUGGUGGGUAGUUUGACUGGGGCGGUCUCCUCCUAAAGAGUAACGGAGGAGCACGAAGGUUGGCUAAUCCUGGUCGGACAUCAGGAGGUUAGUGCAAUGGCAUAAGCCAGCUUGACUGCGAGCGUGACGGCGCGAGCAGGUGCGAAAGCAGGUCAUAGUGAUCCGGUGGUUCUGAAUGGAAGGGCCAUCGCUCAACGGAUAAAAGGUACUCCGGGGAUAACAGGCUGAUACCGCCCAAGAGUUCAUAUCGACGGCGGUGUUUGGCACCUCGAUGUCGGCUCAUCACAUCCUGGGGCUGAAGUAGGUCCCAAGGGUAUGGCUGUUCGCCAUUUAAAGUGGUACGCGAGCUGGGUUUAGAACGUCGUGAGACAGUUCGGUCCCUAUCUGCCGUGGGCGCUGGAGAACUGAGGGGGGCUGCUCCUAGUACGAGAGGACCGGAGUGGACGCAUCACUGGUGUUCGGGUUGUCAUGCCAAUGGCACUGCCCGGUAGCUAAAUGCGGAAGAGAUAAGUGCUGAAAGCAUCUAAGCACGAAACUUGCCCCGAGAUGAGUUCUCCCUGACUCCUUGAGAGUCCUGAAGGAACGUUGAAGACGACGACGUUGAUAGGCCGGGUGUGUAAGCGCAGCGAUGCGUUGAGCUAACCGGUACUAAUGAACCGUGAGGCUUAACCUUACAACGCCGAAG
This 2116-nucleotide ribosomal RNA is filed under the name Escherichia coli. Its description in RNAcentral is "partial 23S ribosomal RNA". It matches the Rfam family "Bacterial large subunit ribosomal RNA", at positions 845 to 2925 of the family's 2925-position model. Lineage: Bacteria; Pseudomonadati; Pseudomonadota; Gammaproteobacteria; Enterobacterales; Enterobacteriaceae. The record is from RNAcentral.